RNAcentral lists this non-coding RNA (50 nucleotides) under unclassified sequences. RNAcentral's name for it is "chromate-resist RNA". It matches the Rfam family "chrB-b RNA". The record is from RNAcentral.
CGGGGAAAAGCAGACUCCCCAUCAGACGGCCUUUUCCGUCCAAGCUCUGC